RNAcentral lists this ribosomal RNA (253 nucleotides) under uncultured bacterium. RNAcentral's name for it is "partial 16S ribosomal RNA". It matches the Rfam family "Bacterial small subunit ribosomal RNA", at positions 524 to 776 of the family's 1533-position model. The record is from RNAcentral.
UACGGAGGGGGCUAGCGUUGUUCGGAAUUACUGGGCGUAAAGCGCACGUAGGCGGCUUUGCAAGUUAGAGGUGAAAGCCCGGGGCUCAACUCCGGAAUUGCCUUUAAAACUGCAUCGCUAGAAUUGUGGAGAGGUAAGUGGAAUUCCGAGUGUAGAGGUGAAAUUCGUAGAUAUUCGCAAGAACACCAGUGGCGAAGGCGGCUCACUGGCCCGGUACUGACGCUGAGGUGCGAAAGCGUGGGGAGCAAACAGG